GCCCUAGAAAAAUUCUAAGGUGUAACCUGCCCAGUGAUCUUUAAUAAAUUAUAUGAGGUAUAUUAAAAAAGAUUAAAAGGACGCGGUAACCUUGACCGUGAUAAUGUAGCAUAAUCACUCGCCAUUUAAUUGAUGGAUAGUAUGAAUGGUUGAACGAAUAUUCCACUGUCUUAAAGAGAAUUACAAGAAAUUGAAAUAGUAGUUAAGAUGCUACUUAAAACUGUAAGACGAAAAGACCCUAUAGAGCUUAACUAUAACCUCUUUAAAAUUAAAUAAAAUAGUAUUUUAUAAGUUAAAGAGAUUGGUAGUUUAGUUGGGGCGACUGUCUUCUAGAUAUAACGAAGAUAUGCAAAGUUAAUACCAAAACUUAUUGUAUAAUCAAAGUAUUUAACAAUUAUAAACAUAGGCUAUAAUGACCCGUUAAUACGUAAAAAAACGAUUAACGAUCAAUUGAUAAAAGCUACCUUAGGGAUAACAGGAUAAUUUCAUUUUAGAGCUCAUAUCGAAAAUGAAGUUUGUCACCUCUAUGUUGAAUUAAGAUAUCCAGGUAAUGCAGAAGUUACCAAGGGUAGGUCUGUUCGACCUUUAAAAUCUU
Molecule: ribosomal RNA, 595 nt
Filed under: Clytia sp. BFLA4240
Lineage: Eukaryota; Metazoa; Cnidaria; Hydrozoa; Leptothecata; Clytiidae
Description: partial large subunit ribosomal RNA
Rfam family: Bacterial large subunit ribosomal RNA
Source: RNAcentral